CCUACGGGAGGCAGCAGUGGGGAAUAUUGGGCAAUGGGCGCAAGCCUGACCCAGCAACGCCGCGUGAAGGAAGAAGGCUUUCGGGUUGUAAACUUCUUUUCUGCGGGACGAAGAAAGUGACGGUACCUCAGGAAUAAGCUACGGCUAACUACGUGCCAGCAUCCGCGGUAAUACGUAGGUGGCAAGCGUUAUCCGGAUUUCUUGGGUGUAACGGGGGUGUAGGCGGGAAAGCACGUCAGCUGUGAAAACUCAGGGCUCAACCCUGGGCCUGCAUUUGAAAAUGUUUUUCUUGAGUGCUGGAGAGGCAAGAGGAAUUCCGGGUGUAGCGGUGAAAUGCGUAGAUAUACGGAGGAACACCAGUGGCGAAGGCGGAUUGCGGGACAGUAACUGACGCUGAGGCGCGAAAGCGUGGGGAGCAAACAGGAUUAGAUACCCUAGUAGUC
This 443-nucleotide ribosomal RNA is filed under the name uncultured bacterium. Its description in RNAcentral is "partial 16S ribosomal RNA". It matches the Rfam family "Bacterial small subunit ribosomal RNA", at positions 338 to 795 of the family's 1533-position model. The record is from RNAcentral.